AUAGCAAGCCUCGAAAUACAGGAAACACGAAUGCCGCCCGUAGAGUUGGUGAAUAAAGUGGUCAAAUAUUACAUAGAUUAAAAUUCCCACCAGUGCAUCAACGGCAUUAAUAUCAGCACUAAAGGCUAAUGUGUAAACAGGUGUAAAUAUCUGACGCAUCCUGUCCAGAAGGUGGCAGCAUCGGCCAACAGAUUCUUGUUGUGGUUUUGGUUCUCUCUGCCAGCGGUAAAGAUGAGAGGGUACCAAUCAAACUCCACUAAAAUGGACUAAAAUGUUGACUACAUUCACAACACAAAAUUUGGAGACCAGCCUGGUGCGGAUGUGGGGCCUCUGAUCUCUUCGGAGGCCAAAGAGAGUCUGCAGUAUGAUCCAGAGUGGAGAAGAAGAAGAGGAGCAGCAACUUUAUGGGAACCCCUGUGGCAACGGUACAGCUAUCUUCACCACAAAUGGCGCCACUGCACACAAAUACACUCACGAGGUGGACGUGUGCCAGGGAAUCCAGUUCCACACACAAACAAACUAUAAUCUCCAAAUGAGAAGACGAAGAGGCUCUCUGAGGGGGGAGGGAUUCCUCUCCCGGUAUGGAUAGACUGCGAUGCAUGUCAUGUGUACAAAAUGAACAAUGUAAAAGAUGUACAGUACGUUCAACGCAACAGAUGUGUGAUUUCUUUUUUUUUUUUGUUAUACACAAUUGGGCAAAUAAAAUAACUUUCCAAAAAUGAGGUUUCCUUCAAAUGAUACGUUCUGAUUCUUCUAUGAUUCUUCAAACC
Molecule: long non-coding RNA, 770 nt
Organism: Pungitius pungitius (ninespine stickleback)
Lineage: Eukaryota; Metazoa; Chordata; Actinopteri; Perciformes; Gasterosteidae
Exons: 5
Source: RefSeq, a predicted model, not a curated record